AACGCUGGCGGCGUGCUAACACAUGCAAGUCGAACGCCGUCCAUUCGGUGGCAACACUGAAGAAGACGGAGUGGCGAACGGGUGAGUAGCACGUGAGCAACCUGCCCCGAAGACCGGGACAACACCGGGAAACCGGUGCUAAUACCCGGAUACCCCCCACCGGAUCGCAUGGUCUGGUGAGGAAAUGGAUUCCGCUUCGGGGAGGGGGCUCGCGGCCUAUCAGCUUGUUGGCGGGGUAAUGGCCUACCAAGGCUUCGACGGGUAGCUGGUCUGAGAGGACGAUCAGCCACACUGGGACUGAGACACGGCCCAGACUCCUACGGGAGGCAGCAGUGGGGAAUCUUGCGCAAUGGGCGAAAGCCUGACGCAGCAACGCCGCGUGAGGGACGAAGGCUUUCUGAGUUGUAAACCUCUUUCAGCAGGGACGAUUGUGACGGUACCUGCAGAAGAAGCACCGGCCAACUACGUGCCAGCAGCCGCGGUGAUACGUAGGGUGCAAGCGUUGUCCGGAUUUAUUGGGCGUAAAGAGCUCGUAGGCGGUUUGAUUAGUCGGGUGUGAAACCCCCAGGCUUAACCUGGGGCCGCCAUCCGAUACUGUCAUGACUAGAGUCCGGUAGGGGACCACGGAAUUCCUGGUGUAGCGGUGAAAUGCGCAGAUAUCAGGAGGAACACCAGCAGCGAAGGCGGUGGUCUGGGCCGGAACUGACGCUGAGGAGCGAAAGCGUGGGGAGCGAACAGGAUUAGAUACCCUGGUAGUCCACGCCGUAAACGAUGUCAAUUAGCUGUUGGGGGUUUGAAUCCUUGGUAGCGAAGCUAACGCGUGAAAUUGACCGCCUGGGGAGUACGGCCGCAAAGGUUAAA
RNAcentral lists this ribosomal RNA (861 nucleotides) under uncultured soil bacterium. RNAcentral describes it as "bacterial SSU rRNA". It matches the Rfam family "Bacterial small subunit ribosomal RNA", at positions 32 to 898 of the family's 1533-position model. The record is from RNAcentral.